GGGGUCAGCACUGGGUAACUCACACCAGGCAACUUAUUGAUUCCUUGCAUGACUUCAGCAUGGUCGGCCAUCUGCGGCACCCAUCGUGGGGACACAAAACUGGUGGCCUCGAUAACCGGCAGCCCCGUCUCCGACAACAUGUCGAUCAGGCGGAUCUUCACUGGCGUCGGCACCACGCUCUUCUCGUUCUGCAGCCCGUCGCGCGGCCCCACCUCCACCACCUUCACUCUCUGCGGGAAGGCCGCGGUGCUGACCGGCCGCAAGGACACAGCCCAGCGCGGCAGCAACCUCCGCACCGCCGCCAUGGCUGCCCGAACCUCCUCACGUGACAGCUACCACGUGAUUCAGAGAGGGCGGAGCUCUGCAGUCACGUGAGAGCGGCGCCAGAGUGUGGGAGUACCUGGCGGCGGGUGGUAUCACGUGACAGCGGUACGGCUGCGAACCGCGGCAUUGUGCGCUGAGAGUGCCUCGCGACGCGCUCAGGAUGCGUUCGGGACGAGCCUCGCCGAGCGCCGCCUCUUAUAGCCGCACGCCGUGCUCGGCGCCGCUGAGCAAACAGCUCGUGUUUGCCCAGGGCCACCCCGCGCCGCGUCACCGGCGGGCCUCCCGUGCCAGGGCCGUCAGCGCGGGCCGUUCCGCAGCCUGCGAAUGGGGAAACGCCGCCGCAGAUCUCCGAGCGCGUCCGCCCCCACCGAGACGCGGAGCAACGCCCGGGCUGACGCCGUGCCGGGACGCGAUGCGCAGCCCCGUGCCAGGCCUCGCCUCCAGACCCUCACGCAGCCUCCCCCCCCCACCUCCAGCAGCGGGGCGGGGGCUCAGAUUUAGACCAAGACCCCUUUUCCCUGGCAGAACGCCGCCGGGCUGGCAGCAAGGCCUGAUGAUGCCUUACAGAAUGGUUAGAAGAUAAAUCCUGUCAUGAAAAACAAUUUAUUUAACAGUGAAUGAACAACUCAUCUGAGGCUCAAUCGAAAAGACGGGUGGGGGGCGGCCGCUUUCAGCCCGUGGCUGUCACUUCACGCCCUCCAGCCGAACAGCCCAACCCGGCUGUGAGCGCACAGGAGACGGAGGCGCGUCAGGCAAAGUCACCAGCAGUCCUUCACCGGGAGGCUGCUGCCACUGCAGAGUCCCCGCAAAACCCAACAUCGUCACUUGCGUGGCUGGGGAUGGAGUGGGCACAGACAGCUGCAACACACUGUUCUGAGGCCAGGUCAGAAAGAUGGCAUAGACAACUGCUCCUUUGGAAGUAUACCAGACAGUGUCUGUGCUGUUCUCCAUCUGUACUCUCCAUGGCUUUGACUCAUAAAUUGCCUCCCCGUUAGUGUCCAGCCA
This 1329-nucleotide long non-coding RNA is filed under the name Gallus gallus (chicken). The record is from RNAcentral. Lineage: Eukaryota; Metazoa; Chordata; Aves; Galliformes; Phasianidae.